RNAcentral lists this unclassified non-coding RNA (311 nucleotides) under air metagenome. RNAcentral describes it as "partial contains small subunit ribosomal RNA, internal transcribed spacer 1, and 5.8S ribosomal RNA". The stretch from base 1 to 46 matches the Rfam family "Eukaryotic small subunit ribosomal RNA", at positions 1786 to 1831 of the family's 1831-position model. The record is from RNAcentral.
AAGUCGUAACAAGGUUUCCGUAGGUGAACCUGCGGAAGGAUCAUUAUUGAAAUAAACCUGAUGAGUUGCUGCUGGCUCUCUAGGGAGCAUGUGCACACUUGUCAUCUUUAUAUCUCCACCUGUGCACCUUUUGUAGACCUGGAUAUCUCUCUGAAGGCUAGCCUUCAGGUUUGAGGAUUGACCUUCUGGUCUUUCCUUAUAUUUCCAGGCCUAUGUUUCUUCAUAUACUCCAUGUAUGUUAUAGAAUGUAAUAAAUGGGCCUUUGUGCCUAUAAACCUAUACAACUUUCAGCAACGGAUCUCUUGGCUCUC